AACGAACGCUGGCGGCGCGCCUAAUACAUGCAAGUCGAGCGAGAAGGUGUAGCAAUACACUUGUAAAGCGGCGAACGGGUGAGGAAUACAUGGGUAACCUACCCUCGAGUGGGGAAUAACUAGCCGAAAGGUUAGCUAAUACCGCAUACGAUUCCAGGACUUCGGUUUUGGAAGGAAAGCACUACCGUGGGUAGUGCGCUCCUGGAUGGGCUCAUGUCCUAUCAGCUUGUUGGUGAGGUAAUGGCUCACCAAGGCUUCGACGGGUAGCUGGUCUGAGAGGACGAUCAGCCACACUGGCACUGCGACACGGGCCAGACUCCUACGGGAGGCAGCAGUAAGGAAUAUUGCGCAAUGGGCGACAGCCUGACGCAGCGACGCCGCGUGGGGGAUGAAGGUCUUCGGAUU
Molecule: ribosomal RNA, 405 nt
Filed under: uncultured bacterium
Lineage: Bacteria
Description: bacterial SSU rRNA
Rfam family: Bacterial small subunit ribosomal RNA
Source: RNAcentral